This is a non-coding RNA of Dermacentor albipictus, 1187 nucleotides long. NCBI's taxonomy places the organism in Eukaryota, Metazoa, Arthropoda, Arachnida, Ixodida, Ixodidae. The record is from RefSeq and is a predicted model, not a curated record.
CAUCGAUGAAGUGCAAGAGCUAGAAGCAGCAAUGCCUAACGAGACACUGGUUGCGGUUCGCAUCGCACACGAGCGUCGUAAGGUGACAGCGCAUACCCUCUGGAACCAUGGCUCUUGACACCGGUCCCAGGUCAUCCUCCCACGCGCGGUGCAAAAGGCAGGUACAACACUGCACAUGCUGCCAUGCGGUCCAUAGUGGUGCGGUACAUAGGGCUUCUUAAGAGCCGCUUCCGCUGCCUUCAGCGUUACCAUGCCCUUCACUACGAAACAGACCGUGCAGCCAACGUCAUUGCAGCAUGUGCAGUGUUGCACAGUCUGUGUCUUGAUGAAGGUGACAGCUUGUUUGAUGAUGACAAUGAAGACAACAGCAACAGCAGCAGUGAUGAUGACAACGGUGACCCCCUCAGACAGGGAGUUCCCAGAGUUAGGGCAUCACGUAUAAUCUACCUCCGUGGAUGUGCUGCCCGGGAUGGUGUUAUUAGCUUAUUCGACACAACGAGGCAGCAGCACCAGCACUCUACCUGAGAAGGGUGCGGAUGCAGCUGCGCUGGCAGCAACACCAAAAGCAACGCUAAGCAUGUGCCCGCAGCGUCAGGCACAUAUGCCUAAUAGAAAGGAGGAACAAAUGUGAAGAUGUUUCGGCAAUUGGCGAAUAGUCUGCAGUUUAUUUAUCCCACCUUUUUUUUUGUUUGUAAUGCGAGGGUUAAUGCCUCAAGACAUACAGAGGUAUGGGAUGCGGGUGAAUAAGGAUGAUCAAAUAAAUGAAACAAGAUUUGUGGAUCUCAUAAUGUGGCCCCUGCGUCCAAACAGUGUAAUGGCUAGGAUUAUGCGGCGAAAGUUCCGCUGCUGCGAGGUGUCGGAGCCUCGUCGGUUUCAACGCAGGGCAAACCCACAGCAGGUGGUGGAUGUCGGCGUCAGCAUUGCGUGACUUGCACACUGGACAUCCAGGGCGGAGAGACACCUGGUGAAAGUGCGGCCGCUUCCGAGUCACGGCAGCAGGGAGGGCAACCCGGACCCAGAUCCUCCGAAGCGCAACCUCCUCUGUACGGAAGUAUCCGAGUGGGCCUGCACCUGUAGAGACCAGCUGGACACCGCGGCCGGGCGCCCGAGGGCUAAAGAAGCCCAUCACGCCGCGGUCACCUCCAGCGUCGGUGGGACCGCACUUCCCGCGCAGAAAAGCUGCAAAG